This is a long non-coding RNA of Leopardus geoffroyi (Geoffroy's cat), 532 nucleotides long. RefSeq lists it as uncharacterized. The transcript has 2 exons. Lineage: Eukaryota; Metazoa; Chordata; Mammalia; Carnivora; Felidae. The record is from RefSeq and is a predicted model, not a curated record.
CCCUGUGUUGUCAAUUUAUGCAGCACAUCACAGAGAAUUAUGGAAACCCCAUUGGCUUUGCUAGAGUGAUAUGUUGAGAGUUAUUUCCAGUUGAGGGAACAAAUGACAAGGAAAAAGAAAACGAUGGAAAUAAAUAACAGGUGGAGAGGUGUUAUGAAGGAAAUUUGACUCACUCAAACACUUAGAACCAAUUAUACAUACGUGGAUAGAAGUGUGAAUCUAUUUGGAUAGCUUUAUCUGCAAGUUUUAAACACUGUGAGGGUGCACGGAAGAUCUACAAACAAACUCAUCAUGGAUGUGUCCUUGGAAGGAGAAACCUUUGUCCCUGUAUUUUCAGGCCAAAUAAGCUCAAGCAUAUACCUGUUCUCUAAGUACACAUUUUCAAGUGAGGUAAAUCAAAAGUGGACAUAAAGUCUCCUUACAUCCCUGUUUUUCAAAAUAGCACCAUCACUCAUGAGAUAAACUAAGUGGCUCUAAAUUUACUUCAUGAAAUUCAUCUCUCUAAAGAAUAAAGUUCUUGUGCUUGCAUUAA